AUACGUAGGGGGCGAGCGUUGUCCGGAAUGAUUGGGCGUAAAGGGCGCGUAGGCGGCCCGGUAAGUCUGGAGUGAAAGUCCUGUUUUUAAGAUGGGAAUUGCUUUGGAUACUGUCGGGCUUGAGUGCAGGAGAGGUAAGUGGAAUUCCCAGUGUAACGGUGAAAUGCGUAGAGAUUGGGAGGAACACCAGUGGCGAAGGCGACUUACUGGACUGUAACUGACGCUGAGGCGCGAAAGUGUGGGGAGCAAACAGGAUUAGAUACCCUGGUAGUCCACACUGUAAACGAUGAAUGCUAGGUGUAGGGGGUAUCGACCCCUUCUGUGCCGCAGUCAACACAAUAAGCAUUCCGCCUGGGGAGUACGGCCGCAAGGUUGAAACUCAAAGGAAUUGACGGGG
RNAcentral lists this ribosomal RNA (397 nucleotides) under uncultured bacterium. Its description in RNAcentral is "partial 16S ribosomal RNA". It matches the Rfam family "Bacterial small subunit ribosomal RNA", at positions 523 to 918 of the family's 1533-position model. The record is from RNAcentral.